This 1228-nucleotide ribosomal RNA is filed under the name metagenome. RNAcentral's name for it is "bacterial SSU rRNA". It matches the Rfam family "Bacterial small subunit ribosomal RNA", at positions 286 to 1498 of the family's 1533-position model. The record is from RNAcentral.
GCUGGUCUGAGAGGACGACCAGCCACACUGGAACUGAGACACGGUCCAGACACCUACGGGUGGCAGCAGUCGAGAAUUUUUCUCAAUGGGCGAAAGCUUGAAGGAGCGACGCCGCGUGGGGGAUGAAGGGCUUCGGCCUGUAAACCCCUGUCAUUUGCGAACAAACCUUUUCAUUGAACAGGUGGAAAGUUGAUAGUAGCGAAAGAGGAAGGGACGGCUAACUCUGUGCCAGCAGCCGCGGUAAUACAGAGGUCCCAAGCGUUGUUCGGAUUCACUGGGCGUAAAGGGUGCGUAGGUGGUCGGAUAAGUUCGAUGUGAAAUCUCCGGGCUUAACUCGGAAAUGGCAUUGAAUACUAUUCGGCUAGAGGGUCGGAGGGGAGACUGGAAUUCUCGGUGUAGCAGUGAAAUGCGUAGAUAUCGAGAGGAACACCAGUGGCGAAGGCGAGUCUCUGGACGACUCCUGACACUGAGGCACGAAAGCUAGGGGAGCAAACAGGAUUAGAUACCCUGGUAGUCCUAGCCCUAAACGGUGCAUAUUUGCCGUGAGAGGAUUCGACCCCUCUCGUGGCGAAGCUAACGCGUUAAAUAUGCCGCCUGGGGAGUACGGUCGCAAGAUUAAAACUCAAAGAAAUUGACGGGGGCCUGCACAAGCGGUGGAGUAUGUGGCUCAAUUCGAUUCAACGCGAAGAACCUUACCUGGCCUUGACAUGCACCUAGUAGAAGGGUGAAAGCCUGACGAGAUAGCAAUAUCAGGGUACACAGGUGCUGCAUGGUGUCGUCAGCUCGUGUCGUGAGAUGUUGGGUUAAGUCCCGCAACGAGCGCAACCCCUGUGUCCUGUUGCCACCCGGAUGAGAAUCCGGAGCACUCUGGACAGACUGCCUCGCUUAAACGAGGAGGAAGGUGGGGAUGACGUCAAGUCAGGAUGGCCCUUACGGCCAGGGCUGCACAGGUACUACAAUGGCAGACACAAAGGGACGCAAGACCGCAAGGUGGAGCAAAUCCCAGGAAGUCUGCCCCGGUUCAGAUUGUCGGCUGCAAUUCGCCGGCAUGAAGUUGGAAUCGCUAGUAAUGGCGCAUCAGCUACGGCGCCGUGAAUACGUUCCCAGGCCUUGUACACACCGCCCGUCACAUCAUGAAAGCCACUUGUACCCGAAGUCGUUGUGGUAACCGCAAGGAACUAGACGCCGAAGGUAUGGACGGUGAUUGGGAUGAAGUCGUAACAAGGUA